UAGGGAAUCUUCCGCAAUGGACGCAAGUCUGACGGAGCAACGCCGCGUGAGUGAAGAAGGAUUUCGGUUCGUAAAACUCUGUUGUUAGAGAAGAACAGCGCAUAGAGUAACUGUUAUGCGUGUGACGGUAUCUAACCAGAAAGCCACGGCUAACUACGUGCCAGCAGCCGCGGUAAUACGUAGGUGGCAAGCGUUGUCCGGAUUUAUUGGCCGUAAAGCGAGCGCAGGCGGUCAAUUAAGUCUGAUGUGAAAGCCCCCGGCUCAACCGGGGAGGGUCAUUGGAAACUGGUUGACUUGAGUGCCGAAGAGGAGAGUGGAAUUCCAUGUGUAGCGGUGAAAUGCGUAGAUAUAUGGAGGAACACCGGUGGCGAAAGCGGCUCUCUGGUCUGUAACUGACGCUGAGGCUCGAAAGCGUGGGGAGCGAACAGG
RNAcentral lists this ribosomal RNA (429 nucleotides) under Bacteroidota bacterium. Its description in RNAcentral is "Bacteroidetes bacterium partial 16S ribosomal RNA". It matches the Rfam family "Bacterial small subunit ribosomal RNA", at positions 355 to 776 of the family's 1533-position model. The record is from RNAcentral. Lineage: Bacteria; Pseudomonadati; Bacteroidota.